RNAcentral lists this ribosomal RNA (684 nucleotides) under Ainuyusurika tuberculata. RNAcentral describes it as "partial large subunit ribosomal RNA". It matches the Rfam family "Eukaryotic large subunit ribosomal RNA", at positions 386 to 944 of the family's 3401-position model. Lineage: Eukaryota; Metazoa; Arthropoda; Insecta; Diptera; Chironomidae. The record is from RNAcentral.
UGGGCUCAAACCUAAAGAACCCAAAAAUCUAAACGGAGAAAUUCAAUACUGCCCAAAAAGUAGUGUGCACUUUUCUCUUAGUAAGACGCCGUGAUCCAUUAGAAAUUGAUGUACGUCAAGUGCAUAUUGGGCCAUCAAUAGGCCGAUAUGAAGUUUAUUUGGAACAAAUGGCACAUUCUUUUACGGGUGUGUGUAUUGUCUGGUAAGCGUAUCGAUACCUGUAAUGGCUGUCUGAUGGAUUUUAAGGACCAUUUAUCAUUGAUGUUACGGCAUCACUCGCUUUUAUUAGCGAGUAUUUACGAUAUGUGUCUGAUCAACGGCGGUUAAAUUUGGGAUACCUUUUGGACCCGUCUUGAAACACGGACCAAGGAGUCUAUCUAGUAUGCGAGUAAAUGGAUAGUUUAUGAAAUCUAUUUGCAUAAUAAACGUGACUGUUAUUUGAAAUGGGAUUACGAUUAAUAAUCAGCAAUGAUUAUUUUUCUUCCAUCCCGGGGUAUUUUUGUCAACAUAUGCGCAAGUAUAUGGAAAAUAUACCAUGAGCACACUGGAUACGACCCGAAAGAUGGUGAACUAUGCCUGAUCAGGUUGAAGUCAGGGGAAACUCUGAUGGAGGACCGAAGCAGUUCUGACGUGCAAAUCGAUUGUCAGAAUUGGGCAUAGGGGCGAAAGACCAAUCGAACCAUC